UACAGAGGUCCCAAGCGUUGUUCGGAUUCAUUGGGCGUAAAGGGUGCGUAGGUGGCGGGGUAAGUCGGAUGUGAAAUCUCGGGGCUCAACCUCGAAACUGCAUUCGAUACUGCCUUGCUUGAGUACUGGAGAGGAGAUCGGAAUUUACGGUGUAGCAGUGAAAUUCGUAGAUAUCGUAAGGAAGACCAGUGGCGAAGGCGGAUCUCUGGCCCGUUACUGACACUGAGGCGCGAAGGCCAGGGGAGCAAACGGG
Molecule: ribosomal RNA, 253 nt
Filed under: uncultured bacterium
Lineage: Bacteria
Description: partial 16S ribosomal RNA
Rfam family: Bacterial small subunit ribosomal RNA
Source: RNAcentral